UGUGGAUCUGACCUGCUUUUCUGCUA
RNAcentral lists this non-coding RNA (26 nucleotides) under Rattus norvegicus (Norway rat). Lineage: Eukaryota; Metazoa; Chordata; Mammalia; Rodentia; Muridae. The record is from RNAcentral.